RNAcentral lists this long non-coding RNA (764 nucleotides) under Vigna radiata. RNAcentral describes it as "long non-coding RNA (VRAD_LNC007063)". The record is from RNAcentral. Lineage: Eukaryota; Viridiplantae; Streptophyta; Magnoliopsida; Fabales; Fabaceae.
AAGAGUGAGAAAGAAGAGAAGGUUUAUUGGUCUGUUAUCCUAGAAUUGAAAAGUGGAAGGGAAGAAGAAAUCACGUGAAAAGGAAGAUAGUAAGUAUUUUAUUUAUCAUGGGUGGAAUCAAAAAGAUAAAAGAGAAUGUUGGUGGAAAGGUAAAGAGAAAAGCUGAGGGACCACGUGAACCAAAAGGGGAUUCUGAUUCUUUUAUCAUCUCAUGCCUUGUGCCUUUCACUUUAUUUCUAGUUUUUUUGUGCUGUAAAUAUCAGCAAUGGCGUGGAAAAACAAGCCAUACUCAAGUUCCAAUCUGAUGCUGAUGGCCUCAACAACCAAAUCAUUGUCUAACACCUUUCUCAAAACCAACCUAUUCUUAAUUAUUCAUUUUUAUGCAUUUUCCAAACUUUUGGGCCCCCACCACUUUACCCAAUGGGCUUUUCCUUUACAAUAUCCAUUCACAACCUGUUACUCAUUCCAGGAACAUACAAACUGCAACUAUCUUAUUUUCCUUAAUAGGUCAAAGUUCAAAAAAACAUUAGCACCAAACAUUGUAACAAAUGAAGCCUUCAUCACCUGCUAAAAUUUCAACUCAGAUAUAGGAGAAGAGCAGUGUCAGUCUCAAACACUGCCAGUUUGGCAAUAUGUUAGUAUGGCAAAACAAAAAAAUAAAUAUAAAAUAUUCGAUGGCCAAAAUCACAAUGUGUUGGCAAAGCUUUCCUAAUUGAUAGUGUGGUGUAAAUCCGUGUUUUGUUAAAACUUUCUAAAAUAAUGCG